UGAACCGGGUCCCCUACCCCCAAAAAAUCCUAGAGAUUGAGUCCUUUUGAACGACUAGCUUUCCUGGUUUCUCUCCGAUCAUUUCAAUUCCAGCAGUGUAAGGUGACUUUAAGGGUGAUGAAAUCGGGAAUCUAGUCACCUGCUGUUUAGAUUCACUUUUGAAGAAGCUAGCUCAGUGGAUUCCGAUUAUAAAGUGCAGUGGUUCCAUGGUUGCUCCCUCAAUGAAAGUAGUAACUAUAGAUUAAUUCUGUAACAUUUAAGACUGGACUGUAAAAUAAUGCUUGUAAUUGAUCGGUUGGUUUGUUGAUGUAAUUAGUUCAAUUUGAUAGGCUAUGAACCUCUCACGUGAUUCAGAUUAAUUGCAAAUCAAUGCUGGACUUGAAUGGUUGCAGAUUUUGUCCUAUAAUUCGUGCAGUUUUUUGUUAAUUUUUGGAGUUUGUGUUCACUCUAUUGGGCCUAAAAGAUAGAAUUGUCCAUUUUGUGGCCUGAUUAAUUAAUGAUGGAUUCUGGACUUCACCAAGGAGAGCCCAUUGAAGACCUGGGCAUUUGAGAUCUAAUUAGCCUCAGUCACAAUUCGAAUCAUUCUAUACAGUAACUGGGGAACACAUUUGUCUUCACCUCUGUUCUUGAUUAAAAUAACCAAAUUAGAAUUAGUAGGACAACUAUUUAUAUAUAAUUACGUCCAUCUUUCCCCACUAGUUAAAUUCCAUAGGCAUGUUUUUAAACUGUUGGUAAUUGUAACUUGAUUCUGAAUAUGUAAAAUAAUCCUUUAACUCA
Molecule: long non-coding RNA, 777 nt
Organism: Nicotiana tabacum (common tobacco)
Lineage: Eukaryota; Viridiplantae; Streptophyta; Magnoliopsida; Solanales; Solanaceae
Source: RefSeq, a predicted model, not a curated record